CGCCCUCCGUCCGGGGGGUGGCCAGCGCCCGCCAGAGGACCAUCGAACUCCGGUCAGUGAACGUUGCCGUCUGAAAAACAAUCAAUAAACUAAAACUUUCAACAACGGAUCUCUUGGUUCUGGCAUCGAUGAAGAACGCAGCGAAAUGCGAUAAGUAAUGUGAAUUGCAGAAUUCAGUGAAUCAUCGAAUCUUUGAACGCACAUUGCGCCCCUCGGUAUUCCGAGGGGCAUGCCUGUUCGAGCGUCAUUACAACCCUCAAGCUCUGCUUGGUGUUGGGCACCGCCCUUCCGCGGGCGCGCCUCAAAGACCUCGGCGGUGGCGUCUUGCCUCGAGCGUAGUAGAAAACACCUCGCUUUGGGGCGCACGGCGCCGCCCGCCGGACGAACCUUUUGAACUUCUCAAGGUGACCUCGAUCAGUAGG
Molecule: unclassified non-coding RNA, 422 nt
Filed under: Neoscytalidium hyalinum
Lineage: Eukaryota; Fungi; Ascomycota; Dothideomycetes; Botryosphaeriales; Botryosphaeriaceae
Description: partial contains 18S rRNA, ITS1, 5.8S rRNA, ITS2 and 28S rRNA
Rfam family: 5.8S ribosomal RNA (bases 94-247)
Source: RNAcentral